AGUGAACGCUGGCGGUAGGCCCAACACAUGCAAGUCGAACGGCAGCACAAUAAGAGCUUGCUCUUACGGGUGGCGAGUGGCGGACGAGUGAGGAAUACAUCGGAAUCUACUUUUUCGUGGGGGAUAACGUAGGGAAACUUACGCUAAUACCGCAUACGACCUACGGGUGAAAGCAGGGGAUCUUCGGACCUUGCGCGAUUGAAUGAGCCGAUGUCGGAUUAGCUAGUUGGCGGGGUAAAGGCCCACCAAGGCGACGAUCCGUAGCUGGUCUGAGAGGAUGAUCAGCCACACUGGAACUGAGACACGGUCCAGACUCCUACGGGAGGCAGCAGUGGGGAAUAUUGGACAAUGGGCGCAAGCCUGAUCCAGCCAUACCGCGUGGGUGAAGAAGGCCUUCGGGUUGUAAAGCCCUUUUGUUGGGAAAGAAAAGCAGCAGGUUAAUACCCCGCUGUUCUGACGGUACCCAAAGAAUAAGCACCGGCUAACUUCGUG
RNAcentral lists this ribosomal RNA (492 nucleotides) under uncultured bacterium. RNAcentral's name for it is "partial 16S ribosomal RNA". It matches the Rfam family "Bacterial small subunit ribosomal RNA", at positions 29 to 507 of the family's 1533-position model. The record is from RNAcentral.